GGGAACCAUAGCUUGGGAAAGCUGAAGCUCAAAACAGCCAAGUGGCAUUGCAACUAACCAGGUGAUAGCCUGGCAGGUACACGUGGCGUCUGAUCUCUGCAGGAACAACGGCUCUCUGGGAACUUGCCCAAGGCCUGGCAACUGGUGACACUCAAUGCAUUUAUGCUUGAAAAAUUAAGAAGCAAAAGAAUGAACACAGAGAGAGAACUGACACUUCUCGUGGAAAGGGCCACUGGAAGGAUUUGCUGGGAAACACCUGCCCAUUCAGACACCACUACAGAGAGACCUGCCGAGCAGAGAGGAGGGGGAGAAGAGGUGCCUUCACAGAAGGAGCCAGCAGAGUCAGGAGAGGAGAAGCCAAGAGCGGGAGAAUGAGGCAAGCAGAUGACACUCCAGCAUAGAGCUAAUUCUCGCGCCAAUGGUCUUGCAUUUGCCCAGGUGAUUGAAGCAGAUGCCGCAGCUUCAGGUUUGGGUGGAGGGAGCGAAGGAAGAGUUAAAGGACCAGUGAGAAGUGACUAGUCCCUGCAAGGCCAAGUCAAUGACAGCCAGGAGUGACCCCCAAAAGAAGAAAGCCCAGGGUCGGUCCUCCUGGGACAACAUGGCUGCUGCUUGUGGGAAAGAGGCAUCCAUCUCAGCAGUUCAGAGUCAGGACUCUUGACACAGCUGGUCUUCGGAAGGAUACUCAGAAUAAAGGGGAUAUCUCUCUGUCUGUCUUUUUCUCUCUCUCUUCAUAUUUUUGCCUCUGUCCAUAAAGACAGUGACAUUGCUGCCCAACUGCUUAUCCGCACAAAAGAAUGCAGUACUGGGGGAAUGCAUCAGCCGCCCACCGCACCCUUUAUUGGCAGUUCCUCAUUGAAGGGCCUCAUCUUUUAAAAGCAGAUUUUGCAGGGGAAAAUGUCAACAUGGACACCUAGGCAGGAGAAGCCAGAGCCAGGAGACACUUCAGGCAGCAGAAAAGGACGAGGGUGGACCACCUGGAGCAUGUUAUGUCUGAGAUGUUGACCUUCAAUUCACUCAUCUCACAGGAAUCUCAUUUACAGUCAUAGGUUGCAGGUCAUAGAUUCCUCCCAGUUGGAGGCACCACCAAUUCGUACUAGCAAGGCCUUGAUCCAUCGGGGCAGAUAAGCUUGCAAGAGUAGAGACUGGGCCAUGAAACACCUAAUGGCCCGGAGGCUCCUGCAGUCUUAAUCAAUGCUUCUCAAAGUGUGGUCCCCAGAGAAGUAGUAGCAUUAGUAACACCUGGGAACUUGUAAAACAUGCAAAUUCUCAGAUCCCAACAGAACAACUGAGUCAGAAAUUCUG
RNAcentral lists this long non-coding RNA (1302 nucleotides) under Equus caballus (horse). RNAcentral's name for it is "lncRNA (ENSECAG00000057447.1)". The record is from RNAcentral. Lineage: Eukaryota; Metazoa; Chordata; Mammalia; Perissodactyla; Equidae.